RNAcentral lists this ribosomal RNA (460 nucleotides) under uncultured bacterium. RNAcentral's name for it is "partial 16S ribosomal RNA". It matches the Rfam family "Bacterial small subunit ribosomal RNA", at positions 338 to 795 of the family's 1533-position model. The record is from RNAcentral.
CCUACGGGUGGCAGCAGUGAGGAAUAUUGGUCAAUGGGCGCGAGCCUGAACCAGCCAAGUCGCGUGAGGGAUGACGGUCCUACGGAUUGUAAACCUCUUUUGCCGGGGAGCAAGCGUGCGUUCGUGAACGCGCGUCGAGAGUACCCGGAGAAAAAGCAUCGGCUAACUCCGUGCCAGCAGCCGCGGUAAUACGGAGGAUGCGAGCGUUAUCCGGAUUUAUUGGGUUUAAAGGGUGCGUAGGUGGGCCUUCAGGCCGGCGGGAAAAUUGCGGGGCUCAACCCCGCCGAGCCGUCGGAACCGGGGGCCUUGAGUACCGGAGAAGUACGCGGAAUGCGUGGGGUAGCGGUGAAAUGCAUAGAUAUCACGCAGAACCCCGAUUGCGAAGGCAGCGUACCGGCCGGUCACUGACGCUGAGGCACGAAAGCGCGGGUAUCGAACAGGAUUAGAUACCCUAGUAGUC